Molecule: small nuclear RNA, 107 nt
Filed under: Microcebus murinus (gray mouse lemur)
Lineage: Eukaryota; Metazoa; Chordata; Mammalia; Primates; Cheirogaleidae
Source: RNAcentral
GUGCUUGCAUGGACAGCACAUAUACCAAGAUUGGGACCCUACAGAGAAGAUUAGCAUGGCCCCUGCCCAAGGAUGGCACCCCAAUUUGUUAUGCAUCCCAUAUUUUG